This is a long non-coding RNA of Gorilla gorilla gorilla (western lowland gorilla), 141 nucleotides long. RefSeq lists it as uncharacterized. Lineage: Eukaryota; Metazoa; Chordata; Mammalia; Primates; Hominidae. The transcript has 3 exons. The record is from RefSeq and is a predicted model, not a curated record.
CUCCCUGCCUCUUAAAAUGAGAUCAUCAAAAAGGAGGCAGUUGGUUUUCUCUCUCCUGCUACCAUGUGAAGAAGGAUGUGUUUGCUUCCUCUUCUGGCAUGAUUGUGGCCUCUAAAUCAACACGUAGAAGCAAGAGAAGGG